Molecule: ribosomal RNA, 304 nt
Filed under: uncultured bacterium
Lineage: Bacteria
Description: partial 16S ribosomal RNA
Rfam family: Bacterial small subunit ribosomal RNA
Source: RNAcentral
CAGCAGUAGCCACGGUAAUACAGAGGGUGCAAGCGUUAAUCGGAAUUACUGGGCGUAAAGCGCGCGUAGGUGGUUUGUUAAGUUGGAUGUGAAAUCCCCGGGCUCAACCUGGGAACUGCAUCCAAAACUGGCAAGCUAGAGUAUGGUAGAGGGUGGUGGAAUUUCCUGUGUAGCGGUGAAAUGCGUAGAUAUAGGAAGGAACACCAGUGGCGAAGGCGACCACCUGGACUGAUACUGACACUGAGGUGCGAAAGCGUGGGGAGCAAACAGGAUUAGAUACCCCUGUAGUCCCUGUCUCUUAUAA